RNAcentral lists this unclassified non-coding RNA (262 nucleotides) under Paraglomus sp. Its description in RNAcentral is "partial contains 5.8S ribosomal RNA and internal transcribed spacer 2". The record is from RNAcentral. Lineage: Eukaryota; Fungi; Glomeromycota; Glomeromycetes; Paraglomerales; Paraglomeraceae.
GUGAAUCAUCGAAUUUUUGAACGCAAAUUGCGCCUUUUUCGGAAGGGAUGUCUGUUUGAGGUCACCAUUUAACAAAUAAUGUGCAUUUCGUGUUCACACGGUGAUGAGCUUUCCAAAAUUAUUUAUUAUUAUUUUUGGUGGCGCAUAAUAAACAGUGCGAUGCUUUUUUUCGUUUCGAUUGUAGUAAAAUUUUUUCUUUCUUGUGUUUUUAAAAGCGUGAUCUCCCAAUGGUUGUGUCGAUUCGACUAACCCUGCUCCAACG